GCUGGUGUCCUUUCCUAGAGAGUGGGGUGAAACUGCCUGGAGAUCCUACAGUGUGCCUAGCACUUCAAAGGAGCUGGAUGUGACGACCCUUGGGGGUCCCUUCCAACUCAGGAUAUUCUGAUUGCUGGACUGCUGCUUACAGCUCUUCACAGCCCUCCUACUUGUUCUUGUUCGCUGCAUCUGUUUGAAAGCGUCUUGAAGAUGAAGUUAUUUCCUGGAGGAAUUCUGGUAUGUUUUUCCCCCAACAGUUCAUCAUUCUUAUCUGCUAUAUUCAUUGUCAGGAAGCAGGUGUUAUUUAUUGUACAUAUACUGA
RNAcentral lists this long non-coding RNA (313 nucleotides) under Numida meleagris (helmeted guineafowl). RNAcentral's name for it is "lncRNA (ENSNMEG00000000218.1)". Lineage: Eukaryota; Metazoa; Chordata; Aves; Galliformes; Numididae. The record is from RNAcentral.